Molecule: long non-coding RNA, 235 nt
Organism: Alosa alosa (allis shad)
Lineage: Eukaryota; Metazoa; Chordata; Actinopteri; Clupeiformes; Clupeidae
Exons: 3
Source: RefSeq, a predicted model, not a curated record
UCGGUAGCCAGAUAUGGGCCAAUCAGUACAACAGUGCCUCUAUUUAAAUUCAAGGACCCUCAUUGUGUUAUGCCAGACGUCAAAGGCCCGCCCCUUUUUACCGCCCUGACAAUUGCCAUCGCCGCAGAGUCUCCCCCUCCCUGUGCGGCAUUGGCCUCCCGCUGGCUGGAUGUGCGUCCAGUGCAGUCCCCGGGGAUCACUAUGUAGCAGGGGAGUGGCUGUCAAUUGGCUACAU